GGGCCGGGCCGGGCCGGGCGGGGAAGGGAAGGGAAGGAAGCGAAGCGGGCGGCGGGGCUGCCACGUCCGCGGGGCUGAGCAGCGGCGGCGGCCGGCGCCCACGUGCAUGUCUCUUUUUUCAACAGCUUUCUCACACUACUCAGCGAAAACUCUCUUGCUGAAGCUUUGGAACAAUGAGCACAAGGUACUACUGGAUAUUUGGAAGCUAAGAUGAGAAGCUGACAUCUGCAUUUUUCAGCACUGUCCAGUCUUUGCAGGAGCAGACAUCUGAAGCAGGAGGGCCUUUCCACGCCUCUCCAGAGACCUUCCCUGGCUUGUCUUUGGCAACUCAUUUUUUGGUGAACAGAAGACUGUA
This is a long non-coding RNA of Alligator mississippiensis (American alligator), 355 nucleotides long. RefSeq lists it as uncharacterized. The record is from RefSeq and is a predicted model, not a curated record. Lineage: Eukaryota; Metazoa; Chordata; Crocodylia; Alligatoridae. The transcript has 3 exons.